GAUGAACGCUGGCGGCGUGCCUAAUACAUGCAAGUCGAGCGAACAGACGAGGAGCUUGCUCCUCUGACGUUAGCGGCGGACGGGUGAGUAACACGUGGAUAACCUACCUAUAAGACUGGGAUAACUUCGGGAAACCGGAGCUAAUACCGGAUAAUAUAUUGAACCGCAUGGUUCAAUAGUGAAAGACGGCUUUGCUGUCACUUAUAGAUGGAUCCGCGCCGCAUUAGCUAGUUGGUAAGGUAACGGCUUACCAAGGCAACGAGGCGUAGCCGACCUGAGAGGGGGAUCGGCCACACUGGAACUGAGACACGGUCCAGACUCCUACGGGAGGCAGCAGUAGGGAAUCUUCCGCAAUGGGCGAAAGCCUGACGGAGCAACGCCGCGUGAGUGAUGAAGGUCUUCGGAUCGUGAAACUCUGUUAUUAGGGAAAAACAAAUGUGUAAGUAACUAUGCACGUCUUGACGGUAACUAAUCAGAAAGCCACGGCUAACUACGUG
This 497-nucleotide ribosomal RNA is filed under the name uncultured bacterium. RNAcentral's name for it is "partial 16S ribosomal RNA". It matches the Rfam family "Bacterial small subunit ribosomal RNA", at positions 28 to 507 of the family's 1533-position model. The record is from RNAcentral.